CCGCUGAAUUUAAGCAUAUUAGUAAGCGGAGGAAAAGAAACUAACAAGGAUUCCCUUAGUAACGGCGAGUGAAGCGGGAAGAGCCCAGCACCGAAUCUCCCGGCCGUAUGGCCGUGGCGACCUGUGGUGUUUGGGAGUGUCGUUGGUGUGCUGCCGGAUGCUCAAGUCCUCUUGAAUGAGGCAUACGUCCAUAGAUGGGUGCAAGGCCCGUAGAGCUGACGGCGGCGCACCUCUGGCGCUCUCUGGAGUCGGGUUGCUUGAGAAUGCAGCCCAAAGUGGGUGGUAAACUCCAUCUAAGGCUAAAUAUAUGCACAAGACCGAUAGC
RNAcentral lists this ribosomal RNA (325 nucleotides) under Circeis spirillum. Its description in RNAcentral is "partial large subunit ribosomal RNA". It matches the Rfam family "Eukaryotic large subunit ribosomal RNA", at positions 25 to 341 of the family's 3401-position model. Lineage: Eukaryota; Metazoa; Annelida; Polychaeta; Sabellida; Serpulidae. The record is from RNAcentral.